Molecule: ribosomal RNA, 876 nt
Filed under: uncultured bacterium
Lineage: Bacteria
Description: bacterial SSU rRNA
Rfam family: Bacterial small subunit ribosomal RNA
Source: RNAcentral
GCUUACCAUGCAGUCGAGGGGCAGCAUUUUAGUUUGCUUGCAAACUGAAGAUGGCGACCGGCGCACGGGUGAGUAACACGUAUCCAACCUGCCGAUAACUCCGGAAUAGCCUUUCGAAAGAAAGAUUAAUACCGGAUAGUAUACGAAUAUCGCAUGAUAUUUUUAUUAAAGAAUUUCGGUUAUCGAUGGGGAUGCGUUCCAUUAGUUUGUUGGCGGGGUAACGGCCCACCAAGACUACGAUGGAUAGGGGUUCUGAGAGGAAGGUCCCCCACAUUGGAACUGAGACACGGUCCAAACUCCUACGGGAGGCAGCAGUGAGGAAUAUUGGUCAAUGGGCGAGAGCCUGAACCAGCCAAGUAGCGUGAAGGAUGAAGGCUCUAUGGGUCGUAAACUUCUUUUAUAUGGGAAUAAAGUUUUCCACGUGUGGAAUUUUGUAUGUACCAUAUGAAUAAGGAUCGGCUAACUCCGUGCCAGCAGCCGCGGUAAUACGGAGGAUCCGAGCGUUAUCCGGAUUUAUUGGGUUUAAAGGGAGCGUAGGUGGAUUGUUAAGUCAGUUGUGAAAGUUUGCGGCUCAACCGUAAAAUUGCAGUUGAAACUGGCAGUCUUGAGUACAGUAGAGGUGGGCGGAAUUCGUGGUGUAGCGGUGAAAUGCUUAGAUAUCACGAAGAACUCCGAUUGCGAAGGCAGCUCACUAGACUGUCACUGACACUGAUGCUCGAAAGUGUGGGUAUCAAACAGGAUUAGAUACCCUGGUAGUCCACACAGUAAACGAUGAAUACUCGCUGUUUGCGAUAUACAGUAAGCGGCCAAGCGAAAGCAUUAAGUAUUCCACCUGGGGAGUACGCCGGCAACGGUGAAACUCAAAGGAAUUGACGG